GACGAACGCUGGCGGCGUGCUUAACACAUGCAAGUCGAACGAUGAACCCGGAGCUUGCUCUGGGGGAUUAUUGGCGAACGGGUGAGUAACACGUGAGGAACCUGCCCUUGACUCUGUGAUAAGCGUUGGAAACGACGUCUAAUACCGGAUAGGACCUUUGAUCGCAUGAUCUGGAGUGGAAAGUUUUUUCGGUCUGGGAUGGACUCGCGGCCUAUCAGCUUGUUUGUGAGGUAAUGGCUCACCAAGGCGUCGACGGGUAGCCUGCCUGCGAGGGUGACCGGCCACACUGCGACUGCGAAACGGAGCAGACUGCUACGGGAGGCAGCCGUGGGGAAUAUUGCACAAUGGGCGACAGCCUGAUGCAGCAGCGGGGCGUGCGGGAUGACGGCCUUCGGGUUGUAAAACGAUUUUAGUAGGGAAGAAGGGGUUCGGCUUGACGGUACCUGCAGAAAAAGGACCGGCUAACUACGUG
Molecule: ribosomal RNA, 472 nt
Filed under: uncultured bacterium
Lineage: Bacteria
Description: partial 16S ribosomal RNA
Rfam family: Bacterial small subunit ribosomal RNA
Source: RNAcentral